Molecule: ribosomal RNA, 301 nt
Filed under: uncultured bacterium
Lineage: Bacteria
Description: partial 16S ribosomal RNA
Rfam family: Bacterial small subunit ribosomal RNA
Source: RNAcentral
CAGUCGCCGCGGGAAUACGUAGGUGGCAAGCGUUGUCCGGAAUUAUUGGGCGUAAAGGGCUCGCAGGCGGUUUCUUAAGCCUGAUGUGAAAGCCCCCGGCUCAACCGGGGAGGGUCAUUGGAAACUGGGAAACUUGAGUGCAGAAGAGGAGAGUGGAAUUCCACGUGUAGCGGUGAAAUGCGUAGAGAUGUGGAGGAACACCAGUGGCGAAGGCGACUCUCUGGUCUGUAACUGACGCUGAGGAGCGAAAGCGUGGGGAGCGAACAGGAUUAGAUACCCGGGUAGUCCCUGUCUCUUAUAC